RNAcentral lists this ribosomal RNA (253 nucleotides) under uncultured bacterium. RNAcentral's name for it is "partial 16S ribosomal RNA". It matches the Rfam family "Bacterial small subunit ribosomal RNA", at positions 524 to 776 of the family's 1533-position model. The record is from RNAcentral.
UACGGAGGAUGCAAGCGUUAUCCGGAAUGAUUGGGCGUAAAGGGUCCGCAGGUGGCAGUGUAAGUCUGCUGUCAAAGAAUGAGGCUUAACCUUAUCAAGGCAGUGGAAACUACACAGCUAGAGUACGGUCGGGGUAGAAGGAAUUCCUGGUGUAGCGGUGAAAUGCGUAGAGAUCAGGAAGAACACCCGUGGCGAAGGCGGCUCUCUGGGACGGUACUGACGCUGAGACGCGAAAGCGUGGGGAGCGAACAGG